This 253-nucleotide ribosomal RNA is filed under the name uncultured bacterium. RNAcentral's name for it is "partial 16S ribosomal RNA". It matches the Rfam family "Bacterial small subunit ribosomal RNA", at positions 524 to 776 of the family's 1533-position model. The record is from RNAcentral.
UACGUAGGGUGCAGGCGUUAAUCGGAAUUACUGGGCGUAAAGCGUGCGCAGGCGGUUUUGUAAGCCAGAUGUGAAAUCCCCGGGCUUAACCUGGGAAUGGCAUUUGGGACUGCAAGGCUCGAGUGCGGCAGAGGAGACUGGAAUUCCUGGUGUAGCAGUGAAAUGCGUAGAUAUCAGGAGGAACACCGAUGGCGAAGGGAGGUCUCUGGGCUGACACUGACGCUCAUGCACGAAAGCGUGGGGAGCAAACAGG